AGAAGAGGGACAUUGACCAAAUAA
This 24-nucleotide non-coding RNA is filed under the name Arabidopsis thaliana (thale cress). Lineage: Eukaryota; Viridiplantae; Streptophyta; Magnoliopsida; Brassicales; Brassicaceae. The record is from RNAcentral.